This is a non-coding RNA of Phrynosoma platyrhinos (Desert horned lizard), 72 nucleotides long. Lineage: Eukaryota; Metazoa; Chordata; Lepidosauria; Squamata; Phrynosomatidae. The record is from the annotation of a GenBank genome assembly.
GUCAGUGUGGCGUAAUGGUUUGAGUGGUGAACUCCAACUCUGGAGACCAGGGUUCGAAUCCCAGCUCAACCA